RNAcentral lists this ribosomal RNA (465 nucleotides) under uncultured bacterium. RNAcentral's name for it is "partial 16S ribosomal RNA". It matches the Rfam family "Bacterial small subunit ribosomal RNA", at positions 339 to 795 of the family's 1533-position model. The record is from RNAcentral.
CUACGGGGCGCUGCAGUGAGGAAUUUUGCGCAAUGGGGGAAACCCUGACGCAGCAACGCCGCGUGAGUGAAGAAGGCCCUUGGGUCGUAAAGCUCUGUCAAUGGGGAAGAAGUUACUUGGUAUUAAUAGUGCCUUGUAUUGACGGUACCCAUGAAGGAAGCACCGGCUAACUCCGUGCCAGCAGCCGCGGUAAUACGGGGGGUGCAAGCGUUAUUCGGAAUUAUUGGGCGUAAAGGGCACGCAGGCGGUCCUGUCAGUCAGAUGUGAAAGCCCGGGGCUCAACCCCGGACGUGCAUUUGAAACAGCAGGACUUGAGUACGGGAGAGGAAAGGGGAAUUCCUGGUGUAGAGGUGAAAUGCGUAGAUAUCAGAAGGAAUACCAAUGGCGAAGGCAGCUAUCUGGACUAAUACUGACACUGAGGCACGAAAGCGUGGGGAGCAAAAGGGAUUAGAUACCCGGGUAGUC